GCACUGCUGACGAGUCGCAAGCAGGACGAAACAGCUGUCCAGUGC
RNAcentral lists this non-coding RNA (45 nucleotides) under Echinostoma caproni. The record is from RNAcentral. Lineage: Eukaryota; Metazoa; Platyhelminthes; Trematoda; Plagiorchiida; Echinostomatidae.